CUCCUCAGUCACAGUGCUCUGUGUAAUACAAACAAAAAAACGAGUGAGCAGCUGCAAGCUCUUUUGGCCUGCUGUAAUUUCUGUAAAGCACCCUGUCACAAAGACACCGGAGUGGGUGGCGUCAGACCAGAAACAGGAACACAACAAACAGACAGAGAUUUGGAUUUUGGUUAAGCUGAGCGCGUGAUUGCGCUCAGCAUUUAAUACAGAAAAUAAACGGCUUGCAACAAAACACAGGACAAGGCACUUGAGCCAAAAUAAACAGACAAACAAAACGAACUACACAGACAAACACGGUGAGCUUCUUUUACUAUUAUUACUUUUACAAUACCCUCCGUCUCCUAACCCGUUCUCCACUCACCGAACACCAACCCCCAGUGAGUGAAAACAUGCAGCUUUUAUGCAGUUGUACCGAGAUUCGAUUGCUAGUCAAUCAUUCAAUUGGAAUCUCGGUACAACUGCACGUGAAUUAAUUAAAGUGCAAUUCCCCGUGCUCACAUAUUACUUUUUACUUGCACGUGAUGUGAUGUGCCAUCCCCGUGCCUAAAUACAAAUAUACAAUUUACACACACGUGAAACACAGACCGCUUAUAUCCCGUGUACCAAUGCCUAUACACCAACAUUUACACACAACACGUAACAUAUAACACACACAGGGGGGGCACUUUGCCACACACCCCAGGAUGCUUGCACAUGAAAGAUGCUAUUUAAAUGUAAAUCAAACCAAACAAGCCUAUGAAUUCUUGUGUUGAUUUCAAAACAUGAAAAACUGUCAUUCCCUCACCUUUACAAUUGUGAAUCAAUCAAUGGCAAUCAACCUCUGCACCGAGUGAUUUAACAGCAGAUUGGAAGGUGGUUUAACAGCAGAUUGGAAGGUGGUUUAACAGCAGAUUGGAAGGUGGUUUAACAGCAGAUUGGAAGAUGGUUUAACAGCAGAUUGGAAGAUGGUUUAACAGCAGAUUGGAAGAUGGUUUUUAACAGCAGAUUUUAUUGCAUUUUAUUGCUGUAAACUGAUUAAUCGUGUAACUUAAGAGCUAUCGCUGUGCAAACUGGGAAACGUAUUUUUUUUUUUUUGUCGAAUAUAAUCAGGUUACAUUUUGCCCAGAAGUAUAAUAUCACAAUGUACGCAGACAAUUGUGGUAUUAUAGUUCGGGGCAAAAUGUAACCUUUGGAGUGGUGGUUAGGGCUCUGGACUCUUGACUGGACUGGUGGUUAGGGCUCUGGACUCUUGACUGGACCCAUCAUUAAGGAAAUCCUGUCCCUCAUCAACACUCAGCGCACUAGUGCUUCUCCCCUUUCAAGGACGUCCUUCUAGAAGCAAUGUUCUACUCAGCCUUCUGCAGGUUCCUUUUCUAUGCGGCGACAUUGACUCCUGGAAUCAGUCUUUCGAUCCUCUGCAUCCACGAUCUUCAAUCUCAGGUCAUGUAUACAUUAUUUUUUAAACAUUCAAAAAUGUUGAGAAAGGGAGUAUAUGUUUAUGUAUUUAAAACAAAUUAUAUUUGUCCCUUUUCUGCUCUAUUCAGCUAUUUAUCAAUGCUGCUCGACUGCCACCCAGACAAACCUGCACCCCGGAAGGAACUAUCGCCUCUUGGAUUUGGUUUAUCAGAUCCCUUUGUCUGUCUCUUCUCCAUGCUGGAUUUUUGCCCGAUAAUUACUCUGGACAUUCCUUUAGAAUCAGCACCGCUACUUCUGUUGCUUCACAGAAUAUUCCUCCACAUCUAAUCAAAGCUAUGGGGAGACGGACAUCAGGAGCAUAUGACAAUGACAUUUUAACCGCACAAAAAAACGUUAUGUGGGUAAUUACAUUUUAGCCUUAAGUUUUUUUACAUGUAUUAUUCUUUGGAAGCCUAGAGGAAGGGCUACCCUUGGCCAUGGAUUCCCUAAGUUUUCUUCCUACCUGUUUCUGGAGUAGGGGGGUUUCCUUACCUGAGCGCCAGGCGGUUUUAUUCUGUGAGGAGGUGGAGGCUGAGGUGGCCUUGUCCUCUUUUGGGGGAAGGUGGCCCGAAGCCACUUGUCCUGCCUGUCAGCAUUAGUUAGUUAAAGUAUUGUUUUUUUAAGUAUCACAUAUUCUGCCAGCAUAAGGGCGGCUAACGAGGCCCUGUGGACAAGGCCAUGGGCCAAAAGUUUUCAUAUAUGCAUAUCUAUAUGGGUAUGUUUCUCUCCUGCAAAUCAAUAAAUGUCAUUCUGUGGAUUCUCCUUUCUGAAUGGUCUAAACACCAUUGUCUGUGAUGCUGUCCUGUCACAAGAAUUAAAGAGCUUCGUAUUUGAAA
This is a long non-coding RNA of Acipenser ruthenus (sterlet), 2270 nucleotides long. RefSeq lists it as uncharacterized. The transcript has 2 exons. NCBI's taxonomy places the organism in Eukaryota, Metazoa, Chordata, Actinopteri, Acipenseriformes, Acipenseridae. The record is from RefSeq and is a predicted model, not a curated record.